Tarenaya hassleriana is the source of this 2827-nucleotide RNA transcript. It is a transcript of the gene named tricalbin-3-like, with no coding region annotated. NCBI's taxonomy places the organism in Eukaryota, Viridiplantae, Streptophyta, Magnoliopsida, Brassicales, Cleomaceae. The transcript has 10 exons. The record is from RefSeq and is a predicted model, not a curated record.
AAAUAGCAUUUUAUCAUUCGCGCCCCACAAAUCCUCGGUUUCAUUCGUGAUACAGAUUUCCUCAAUCUCCCUCUUCCCCUCUCCCUCACAGACACACGCAGUUUCUGCCCCUCAUCCAUCUGGAACCUUCGAUUUUGAUUCCACCUCCAGAACCCUUGGAAGGGUUUUGCCUCUGCCGUUAUUGCUGCUGCUGUUCAUAGACCUCUUGUGACUUUUCCGUGUUGGAUCUUUCUUAUUUUCGCGGCGGAGAUGCUUAGUUUUGCGACUUCGGCGUCGGCUUCAAUUUGGAGUUUUCGGUGAAGAAGAUUCAUAAAUGUUUCUUCAGUCUUCUUCUUCCUCGAGUUUUGAUUUCCCGUGUCGCUCUUAUGUGUCUCGCUAUAUGUUUUGUCCGUUCUCCGCGAACAAGCACGACUCGGUUGCGUUCCGCGAUGGAUUCUCGAGGAGGCGGAUUUUGCGUCGGAGAUUCGGAAUUCCUAUGUCGAAUACGAAGGUUAGGUUAAUUUCUUGUGGAAUUCGAGGGGAUUCAAGUAACAUAGGAUUGGCAAAUUCGACGAGAAGGUUAACAAAAAGCCUUGUUAUCGCUCGGUUUUCGAAUGAAUUCGAGGGUGAAGAAUCGUCGCAGGAAUCUACGAUUCAGGAUUGUAGAAGCGAUUUCACUGACUUUAGAGAAGAUCCAAUAGUUGAUAAGCUCAGGACUCAGUUGGGUGUAAUCCAUCCGAUUCCGUCUCCACCCAUUAAUCGUAACGCAGUAGGCCUGUUUGUGCUCUUCUUCUUUGUUGGGGUUGUUUUCGAUAAGCUAUGGACGUGGAGGAAGAGGCGGAGACAAAUGAGCAGCGAGAGUGGGCACCGAGGAGCAGGACCAUGGCCACAGGUUCCGACCAGCUUCUCAUUGUUCCUCGAGAAGGAUUUGCAGAGGAAAGAAUCGGUGGAAUGGGUAAACAUGGUGUUGGGGAAGCUCUGGAAAGUAUACAGAGCUGGGCUUGAGAAUUGGAUCAUUGGAUUAUUGCAGCCGGUUAUUGAUGACUUGAAGAAACCAGAUUAUGUCCAGAGAGUUGAAAUCAAGCAGUUCUCUCUUGGGGACGAGCCUUUGUCUGUUAGAAAUGUAGAGAGAAGGACAUCACGCCGUGUCAAUGACUUGCAGUACCAAAUUGGUCUUCGGUAUACUGGUGGGGCCCGUAUGUUAUUAGUGCUCUCUUUGAAAUUUGGUAUCGUCCCAGUAGUUGUGCCAGUUGGUAUUCGUGAUUUUGACAUCGACGGUGAGCUUUGGGUUAAACUGAGAUUGAUACCAACGGAACCUUGGGUUGGAGCUGUAUCAAUGGCUUUUGUAUCACUUCCGAAGGUCAAGUUUGAGCUGGCGCCCUUCCGAUUGUUUAAUCUAAUGGCCAUUCCUGUUCUAUCAAUGUUCUUGACCAAACUUCUGACAGAGGAUUUGCCUCGAUUAUUUGUCCGCCCAAAGAAGAUUGUCUUGGAUUUCCAGAAAGGAAAAGCUGUUGGACCUGUUGCAGAAGACCUCAAACCAGGAGAAAUGCAAGAAGGAAACACGGAUUUUGUCGGAGAACUAUCUGUUACCCUUGUUGAUGCACAGAAACUUCCAUAUAUGUUCUAUGGUAAAACAGAUCCAUAUGUUAUUCUAAGAUUAGGGGAUCAAGUUAUUCGCAGUAAAAAGAACAGCCAAACUACCGUCAUUGGGGCCCCUGGUCAGCCUAUCUGGAAUCAGGACUUCCAUUUCCUCGUUUCAAAUCCUAGAGAACAGGUCUUACAACUUGAGGUUAACGACUGUCUUGGGUUUGCUGAUUUGACUAUUGGUACUGGAGAGGUUGAUCUUGGAUCACUAAAAGAUACUGUUCCAACAGAUAGAAUCGUGGUCUUGAGAGGCGGUUGGAGUUUGUUUGGGAAGGGUUCUGCUGGGGAGAUUCUUCUUCGGCUUACAUACAAAGCAUAUGUGGAGGAUGAAGAGGAUGACAAGACCGAUGUGAAAAAGAUUAAUGCCGAUGUUUCUGAUGAUGAAUUCUCAGAUUCUGAAGAAGCUGGCUCAUUUGUGGAGAAUGAAAAGAUUUCUUCUGAUGAAUCAGGCCAAGAGUCAUUUAUGGAUGUGCUGUCUGCAUUGAUAGUGAGCGAGGAGUUUCAGGGUAUAGUUUCAUCAGAAACAACAAACAGUAAACUUUCUAACGGCGACACGAGUACUGUGCCUGUAACUUCCGGGUCUAGGGUGGACUCAAAAAAUCUACCCGUAGAUCCAGGUAAUGCCUCUGGAAGCAAUACGGGCGUAUCAGAUUCAGAAUCUGUAGCGGCAAAUUCUGAUAAAGGUUCUGAUGAUGAUGGAGGAUUAGCUUUAUUGUGGUUCGGUGUGAUAACUAGCAUACUGGUGCUCGUAGCUAUCAACAUGAGCGGCUCAAGUUUCUUCAACCCGUAGUACGAAGUUGUAUAGCUACUGCAGAUUUCUGUCGCCCGACCGUUGUUUUCAUGAGAUUAGAUUCAGUGGAAUGGAAGUGGCUGCUCUCUGUUCUGCUUCUGCAUAUAGUUAAGGACCAACCCUGCAUCUUCAUCUUUUCCGGGUUGGUCUCAGAUACGGCUUAUAAAGAGGUUUCAGUCCAUGUUGCUGUUGUAUGCGUAGCCAUUAGAAGUUGUACACUUCGCAUCGGCAGCAGGAAAUUUUGGAUCUAUUUUAUCCAAUCCCCCCAACGUGUGGUUGUUUAUAGUUACAUUAGAUGGGAAAAAAAUAUUACUGUAUUCUUUUCUUACAUAUUUUUUUUUUGGGAAAAAAAUAUUACUGUAUUCGUUUCUUACAUAUAUUUUUUUUGGCAAUAAAAGGUUUACGGAAAAGGCA